This 408-nucleotide ribosomal RNA is filed under the name uncultured bacterium. RNAcentral describes it as "bacterial SSU rRNA". It matches the Rfam family "Bacterial small subunit ribosomal RNA", at positions 355 to 775 of the family's 1533-position model. The record is from RNAcentral.
UGGGGAAUUUUGCGCAAUGGGCGAAAGCCUGACGCAGCGACGCCGCGUGAGGGAUGAAGGCCUUCGGGUUGUAAACCUCUUUCAGCAGGGACGAAGCGAAAGUGACGGUACCUGCAGAAGAAGCCCCGGCCAACUACGUGCCAGCAGCCGCGGUAAUACGUAGGGGGCAAGCGUUGUCCGGAUUUAUUGGGCGUAAAGAGCUCGUAGGCGGCUAUUCACGUCGGGUGUCAAAGCUCGGGGCUCAACCCUGAGAGGCCAUUCGAUACGGAAUAGCUAGAGGCAGGUAGGGGAGAGUGGAAUUCCUGGUGUAGCGGUGAAAUGCGCAGAUAUCAGGAGGAACACCGAUGGCGAAGGCAGCUCUCUGGGCCUUGCCUGACGCUGAGGAGCGAAAGCUGGGGGAGCGAACAG